GCUUAACACAUGCAAGUCGAACGAGAACGGGUUAUAGCUUGCUAUAAUUGUCAGCUAAGUGGCGCACGGGUGAGUAAUGUAUAGGUAAUAUGCCUCUUACUAAGGGAUAACAAAUGGAAACGUUUGCUAAUACCUUAUACUCCUUAUUAACAUAAGUUAAUAAGGGAAAGAUUUAUUGGUAAGAGAUUAGCCUGUAUUGUAUCAGUUAGUUGGUGGGGUAAUGGCUUACCAAGACUAUGACACAUAACUGGUUUGAGAGGAUGAUCAGUCACACUGGUACUGAGACACGGACCAGACUCCUACGGGAGGCAGCAGUGAGGAAUAUUGGACAAUGGGCGCAAGCCUGAUCCAGCCAUGCCGCGUGCAGGAAGACGGUCCUAUGGAUUGUAAACUGCUUUUAUACAGGAAGAAACACCUCUACGUGUAGAGACUUGACGGUACUGUAUGAAUAAGCAUCGGCUAACUCCGUG
This 470-nucleotide ribosomal RNA is filed under the name uncultured bacterium. RNAcentral describes it as "bacterial SSU rRNA". It matches the Rfam family "Bacterial small subunit ribosomal RNA", at positions 46 to 507 of the family's 1533-position model. The record is from RNAcentral.